UUGAGCGGAGAUAUAUGGAGCUUGCUCUAUAUAACUUAGCAGCGAACGGGUGAGUAACACGUAGAUAAUCUAUCCUAUACUGGGGGAUAGCCCGAUGAAAGUUGGAUUAAUACCGCAUAUAGCUAUAUAGUUGCAUGAUUAUGUAGUGAAAGAUUUAUUGGUAUAGGAGGAGUCUGCGGCACAUUAGCUAGUAGGUGAGGUAAAGGCUUACCUAGGCGACGAUGUGUAGCCGGUCUGAGAGGAUGAACGGCCACAAUGGAACUGAGACACGGUCCAUACUCCUACGGGAGGCAGCAGUGGGGAAUAUUGCACAAUGGGGGAAACCCUGAUGCAGCAACGCCGCGUGAGUGAAGAAGGUUUUCGGAUUGUAAAGCUCUGUUAGCAGGGAAGAGGAAGGACGGUACCUGCAGAGGAAGCCACGGCUAACUACGUGCCAGCAGCCGCGGUAAUACGUAGGUGGCAAGCGUUGUUCGGAAUAACUGGGCGUAAAGGAUGCGUAGGCGGUUAAACAAGUUAUAUGUUAAAUAUAUAGGCUUAACCUGUAGAAAGCAUAUAAAACUGUUUAACUAGAGUGCAGGAGAGGUAAGUGGAAUUCCUAGUGUAGCGGUGAAAUGCGUAGAGAUUAGGAAGAACACCAGUGGCGAAGGCGACUUACUGGACUGUAACUGACGCUGAGGCAUGAGAGCAUGGGGAGCAAACAAGAUUAGAUACCCUGGUAGUCCAUGCUGUAAACGAUGGGUACUAGGUGUGGGUUGUGAAUAACAAUUCGUGCCGUCGCAAACGCAAUAAGUACCCCGCCUGA
This 802-nucleotide ribosomal RNA is filed under the name uncultured bacterium. Its description in RNAcentral is "bacterial SSU rRNA". It matches the Rfam family "Bacterial small subunit ribosomal RNA", at positions 62 to 876 of the family's 1533-position model. The record is from RNAcentral.